Molecule: long non-coding RNA, 866 nt
Organism: Mytilus californianus (California mussel)
Lineage: Eukaryota; Metazoa; Mollusca; Bivalvia; Mytilida; Mytilidae
Exons: 3
Source: RefSeq, a predicted model, not a curated record
UUAAACCUUUUUCCUGCGACUUUCUGUCCGUUUACCAAUACUUAUUCCUUGUUAAGUUUUUUCAUAUCCAUUUACGAAUACUUAUAACGUGAUAAUUAUUUUUUCCGGAUGCUUUUUAUCCUAUUUUCAUAUCAAACAACCAUGUUACCCGUAGAACGGAGUUAAGUACAAAUUUAGGAAUUUAGUACUUAAAAUUUUCAACAACAAAAUUUUACAUUUUCAUUUACCUGGAUUUUUUUCUACGCUUCGAAGCCGCCACCCUGUAUCAAACUUAUCCAACACCUCGCAUGGCGUAUUCACGAUGUGGAGGGAUUGACAAUAUACAAUCAAAGUUAGCAAUAUACAGCAAGUUGCCAGCAAGAUGAAAAGAACAAUGCAGUUCAAAAGUCAAAAUGUGGAUAAGCUGCGGUACAAGGUCCUACUUUUGCAGAUUUUCAUAUUUUGCAUGAAUGAAUUUGAAGUUUAUAUUAUGGAGGGCAGAGAAAGAAAAGAAACACUUCAGUUUUCCUGCUUCUGAAGGAUAAAUGUAAAACAUCUUGUUUGAAGGAUUGAAAUUCAUCACUGAGAAUAAAAGGAGAAAACACAGAAACAAGACCAAAAUAAAUUCAAAGACAAAAGUCAGAUCAGUUAUUAUUUUCAUCACUCAGCCAAUGAAUUGAAGUUCUAUUAAAUAUCUAAAGAUAUUAAAACCACAAUAAUGACAAUGUUCUGUGCUGAAUGGCAAAAAAGUGGACUAUACAUAACGACCACACAAUGCUGGAUGAUGAGAAACUAUUUAUUUUUUGGGUGGAGGGAUAUCCUGAAAAAAAAAAUAGAUUUAUGUAAAAAGCUACUAGUAUGUUAAGCCUAUUAAUAGAGUUUUCAUU